Molecule: transfer RNA, 70 nt
Filed under: Marmota marmota marmota (Alpine marmot)
Lineage: Eukaryota; Metazoa; Chordata; Mammalia; Rodentia; Sciuridae
Also listed under: 1 other name
Rfam family: tRNA
About the family: Transfer RNA (tRNA) molecules are approximately 80 nucleotides in length. Their secondary structure includes four short double-helical elements and three loops (D, anti-codon, and T loops). Further hydrogen bonds mediate the characteristic L-shaped molecular structure. tRNAs have two regions of fundamental functional importance: the anti-codon, which is responsible for specific mRNA codon recognition, and the 3' end, to which the tRNAs corresponding amino acid is attached (by aminoacyl-tRNA synthetases). tRNAs cope with the degeneracy of the genetic code in two manners: having more than one tRNA (with a specific anti-codon) for a particular amino acid; and 'wobble' base-pairing, i.e. permitting non-standard base-pairing at the 3rd anti-codon position.
Source: Rfam by way of RNAcentral
GGGGAUGUAGCUCAGUUGGUAGAGUGCUUGCCUUGCAUGCAUUAGGCUCUGGGUUCAAUCCCUAGCACCA